Cydia fagiglandana is the source of this 402-nucleotide long non-coding RNA. RefSeq lists it as uncharacterized. Lineage: Eukaryota; Metazoa; Arthropoda; Insecta; Lepidoptera; Tortricidae. The transcript has 2 exons. The record is from RefSeq and is a predicted model, not a curated record.
UCAUUGCUAGGCUGCAGAGGACGCUUUUGUUAGUUUUCGACCGGAUAUAUUGUACUUGUUUAAUACAAAAUUGCCAGAUAAAUUCAAUUGCGUGUUUGUGAAAAUUGUAUAAAUCUUGUUAUAUUUUUAUUGCACAUAGUCUCAAUACGAAACAGUGCACGAAAUAUUAAAUUUCAUUAUAAGAUACUUGACUGGAGCAUUGUUAGACGAAGUCAAGCUUUUGUCUAUGUGUGGGUGUCAAAUUUUUCAGUAGUGUGCGUGCAACAGAACUCGCUUGUCGCGUUGCGGUGCGUGUGCUUUCUACAAUUGACUUUCAACGCCUCGCAGUUCGCGAAGGCGUGGUGGUAGCCGUAGGCAGCGGACCGGGGCGGCAGAGCGAGGGGUGCGGCGGCGGAGCGCGCG